UACCGAAGACUAUCAAACUCCGAAUGCCGUCAUCUUAUACUUGGGAGUCAGACUGUGGGUGAUAAGAUUCAUAGUCGAAAGGGCAACAGCCCAGAUCGUCAGCUAAGGUCCCUAAAUGUAAGUUAAGCGGUAAAGGAUGUGGGAUUGCACAGACAACCAGGAUGUUGGCUUAGAAGCAGCCACUCAUUCAAAGAGUGCGUAAUAGCU
RNAcentral lists this ribosomal RNA (207 nucleotides) under Clostridioides difficile. RNAcentral's name for it is "partial 23S ribosomal RNA". It matches the Rfam family "Bacterial large subunit ribosomal RNA", at positions 937 to 1142 of the family's 2925-position model. Lineage: Bacteria; Bacillati; Bacillota; Clostridia; Peptostreptococcales; Peptostreptococcaceae. The record is from RNAcentral.